Long non-coding RNA from Uranotaenia lowii, 1161 nucleotides. RefSeq lists it as uncharacterized. Lineage: Eukaryota; Metazoa; Arthropoda; Insecta; Diptera; Culicidae. The record is from RefSeq and is a predicted model, not a curated record. The transcript is spliced from 3 exons.
UGAAGAUCACCGAACGCGUAGUUUUUCGAAUCACCCGUGAAUUAUGUGGUACUCUACGCCCCGCUGCUACGGAAUCGUUCGGGGAACAUCGGAGGAUCAGAGCCACUUGUCCUCCAGAAAAAUAUGGUCCAAGGUUUCAGUAUUAUUGCCAUGGAAUCCACCGAAUCGAUUGCGGUUAUCUCGUUAUGACGGCAAUAUUUAACCAAAUUGGAGUCAAUUUUGCCGAACAGAUAUUAUCCCAGAAAUCCCAACCACCGUUAAUAACGUGUAUGCAGAUGGUCCUUAGGGAGAACACAAAUAUUGACGGAAUUGUCAGGAGACCACUUUAUAGUCAUCAGUAAAAGGUUCCAGUGGUCCGAAAUCAAAAACUGAAAACAAAUAAGGAGCAUCUAAAUAUGUGUUCUGGAACUAUAUUCGAAACGUCAGGAAACGAAACGUGGAUUGCACAUUGUGGACAUCGAAUAGUUUUACCACUGAGCCAACGAAAAAGGUAUAUCAUAGACUUAAGAAGAAAUGUAGCUUGCGACUACAUAUGUAAAGCAAAAGUUGUUCAGCUUUGUCAAACUCAAUUGCGUCGGAUACACAAUUGAGGCGCUUAGGAUGAAAGGAAUGUCAGGGUCCAGAUGAUAGUUUACAGAAUACACGCCUUAGAGUUAUUGUUAAGGUGCUCGAUUCGAAUUCGAGUAGUUCGAAUUCAAUCAAAACUUUGAUAAAUAUUAUAACAAAAUAUGAAUUUUACCACAGAUGUAGUUUGAAAUUUGAAAAAUCGUUCGGAAUACUCGCACCUCAUUAAGAAAUUGGAUGAAAGAAAUGAAUUUAUCACUAAAUUUGAUUAGAUUGCAUUAGAUAAUGUUAGGAAUGAUGUUGACGACGUUUAGGAUCAGCAAGCGAUGUAGGUGCUCGAUUUUUUAUAUAAUUUUCGGAUUCGAGCAGUUUUCAUGCAAUCGAAAAAAUGUGGUUCAAUUUUUGAGUUUUGCACUAGAUGUAGAUUGAGACAUGCAAAAAGAAUGGUUUAGGAAAUCAACUCAAAGCUGAUACUUUUACAACGUAUUCCUCUGACUUUACUCAAAGUGUUUUAUAGGCAAAGCUGAUAAUGUGGAUCUCAAGUAGACAGAAUUCAAAUUGUUAAUUGAAUUACUAAAACAGCAUUGUGAAGUAUGU